UGGGGAGUACGACCGCAAGGUUGAAACUCAAAGGAAUUGACGGGGGCCCGCACAAGCGGUGGAGCAUGUGGUUUAAUUCGAAGCAACGCGAAGAACCUUACCAGGUCUUGACAUCCUUUGACCACUCUAGAGAUAGAGCUUUCCCUUCGGGGACAAAGUGACAGGUGGUGCAUGGUUGUCGUCAGCUCGUGUCGUGAGAUGUUGGGUUAAGUCCCGCAACGAGCGCAACCCUUAUUGUUAGUUGCCAUCAUUCAGUUGGGCACUCUAGCGAGACUGCCGGUGACAAACCGGAGGAAGGUGGGGAUGACGUCAAAUCAUCAUGCCCCUUAUGACCUGGGCUACACACGUGCUACAAUGGGAAGUACAACGAGUCGCUAGACCGCGAGGUCAUGCAAAUCUCUUAAAGCUUCUCUCAGUUCGGAUUGCAGGCUGCAACUCGCCUGCAUGAAGCCGGAAUCGCUAGUAAUCGCGGAUCAGCACGCCGCGGUGAAUACGUUCCCGGGCCUUGUACACACCGCCCGUCACACCACGAGAGUUUGUAACACCCGAAGUCGGUGAGGUAACCUUUUUGGAGCCAGCCGCCUAAGGUGGGAUAGAUGAUUGGGGUGAAGUCGUAACAAGGUAACCAAGGGCGAAUUCGCGGC
Molecule: ribosomal RNA, 644 nt
Filed under: uncultured bacterium
Lineage: Bacteria
Description: bacterial SSU rRNA
Rfam family: Bacterial small subunit ribosomal RNA
Source: RNAcentral